UACCUGCAGGCUACAGAUCUUUGCCCAGUCUACCCAACUGCCAGCCAUACAAAACAAGUAAAAUAUGUAACCACAUUUACAGUCUUGUGGUCUUUUCAAAAAAACCUUGGAUUUUCUACCUGUUUUGGUCACAUGUGCCAGUCUACCAAUGACAUUGUGCAAACCUCAGUGGCUGGAUCCAAAUGAUACAUCUUUUCCUUUUUGGUGUGAUAAUCUGUUGCUUCAUUGGCACACAUUCACAUGGGCAGAGAUGCAGCACAAUAUGUGUUUUGCACCCUUCCCAAAUGCUAGAUAAACACAUUUCUUUCUCUCUCUCUCACACACACACACAUACACACAGAGAACAUUUGUUGGUGCAGAAAGAUGUUUGCUCAGCACAUUUCAAUACGAACAUCAUAAUACUCUAUCUAGUUGCCAUCCAUUUCCUUGUCAAAAAUCAACAUGAGCCAGCGUUUUUUAUUCCCAAAUCGCUGUGAGGCAAAAAUCACAUUAAUUUUCUCACUAAAACCCAAAUGUCAUUAUGUAAAAAAAGAAAGAGGCGGGUUACAGCAUCUAUUUUUGAUGGCCAUGGAUAAAGAUAUCCACAUGCAGAGUCAAUAUUUGACCUUCACCACCUUGCAUAGAGGUCAAAUUGUAGGCCAGCCCUCUACCUUUCACCCCCACUUUGCUGUAAGCUCUCAUACCUACUUACACAUCUCACACAGUGCAGGCAGUGAUAAUGAAACAUUAAAUUAACAUCGUUUUACACAGAUUAAAGAUAAGAGAGGUUCCCUGGUCCCAUUGUGCCAAUAUAGUGAAAGUGAAACACUAAGAUCCAUUUAGGGAAUUUCCUGCUACAGCGCGUGUCCUCAGAUGUGACCCUACUAUAAACACAGAAAGCAACAAGUGUCAGAGUGUAGGUUUCCCUGUGUAGUCAUGUCUUAGUAUCUUUGGCACCAGGCCAGCUUUGCCAUCUGUCUCUUCUCCCCCUUUCCCUGUCUCUCCUCCUCCUUUUCCAAGCCAAUCUGCUCUACAUUUGCUAUCAUUACGUGCUUGCCAUCCUUAUGGCAUAUCAGAGGCAGACACCAGGCACCCUUUACCCCUCUCUCUCUUCUCCUCCUCACGCCCCUUUUCCCUAUUUCCACAACUACUUCACCACAGAGUUCUCUAAAGGGUCCAGGUGGCAUCUUGCCCUGCUCUCCUCUCUGAACCAUUAUGGAAAACAAAGAAGCGCAGGGAAAAGAACAAAAAACAAAGGCAAAAAAGCCCCCAAAGUGAGAAUAUAUUCCUCUCCACAUCCUGCUUAGAAUUGCUGUGCUUCCUGUGCCCACAGGCUUGGUGUUGGUUUGUUGUUGAUUUCCAUGCUUCGCCUACUUCUGGAUGGCUAUUGCUGUUUGAGCAAAAAGGCUGAGAAGUAAACCCUCUUCAAACCUUGGAACUGCCCUGGCUUUGGUGCUGUUCACAGGAACCUGGUACGUCUCCUGUGCCCACACACUCACAUACACACAUGCACGUGGAUGCUGCGGAGUGUUUUUCUCAGAGCUCCCUGCCACCUCGUCUGCCUGCUGCCUCGAAAGAACUGGGAAUACCAUGGGAUCUACCAGAGACUCACUCGCACACAUGCACAUACGCCAGAUUUAAUACGCAGGAGCACUCACCAAUCGUUUAAGGCUGCAGGAAAGUGAAUAAUCAAUUAAGUAUUGAUUUCUUGUAAGUUUUUUUAAUUCCAAAGGCAAAGACAAAGAGCGUAGUUUGAGGAGCGCCGCUGUGAGCGAGAGGAGCCGCGAAUUAGCCAAUAAACACAGACGGGGGAAUAAACGAAGGUGAACAAACGAACUGCUCAUCAGUGCAAUAUGCUUCUGUGUUUUUCUUGUUUCUACAAGCCCUUCCAGAUAAAUUAAUGCUGAAUGCAAAAAUGUUUUCCUAUGGAGACGAAGAGAUGGCGAAUGGGUGAGCAAGGGUUAAAAGCAAAAGCUGCAGGAGGAGACAGAAUGACUGGAGGACUCGAUCAGAAGACAAGAGCUGCAGAGAAGAAUUAAGAGCUAUUAUUCUUCCAAAGGAGAGGCUGAUAUAUGCAAAUGAAAAGAAAAGGGGAGGAGGAGCAGAGCAAAGAACACUGUAACGUCAAAGAUAUACAAUGGACUCCACUACAAAGGAGAGCCAAAAUACAUUCAUACAAAUACUUAUUCUUCCUCACACCGUGGGAGAGACUUCAACAUUUGCGCUAGAAAUAGCGAAAAAGAAAACGACAAUCAGACAUGCACCUUCAUUCCCUAUUAUGCCUAUCUCUGUAUAUUGAUAGGCUGCCUCGUGGAUGAUAAUUACCUUUUGGGAUAUUGAAUCGCAAAAUGAGCUUCCGAACGAAGGAACAAGAAGAAAUGGCAAGAAAAAAAAGAAUGGAGGUAUGCAAAGGCGCUAAUAAGAUUCAGAGUGCUGACUGUAUGUCAUCUACAUGGUGACGACGGCCAAUUUUAAUGAACCAUUGGCUCCCCACUACAGAUAAGUAAUGGAGAGAAGGAUAUGGGUGUCGAGGAGGGUGAAGCGAAAAGAACUUCCUUGUGCCUUUCUUCUUAAUUUCCAGCUGAUAUUUGCAGAUUCUGCACCAUGUGGAUUUACAGUAAUAAUACAUGUUGAAAAAAAAAA
Molecule: long non-coding RNA, 2622 nt
Organism: Monopterus albus (swamp eel)
Lineage: Eukaryota; Metazoa; Chordata; Actinopteri; Synbranchiformes; Synbranchidae
Exons: 2
Source: RefSeq, a predicted model, not a curated record